RNAcentral lists this ribosomal RNA (634 nucleotides) under uncultured Marinobacter sp. RNAcentral's name for it is "bacterial SSU rRNA". It matches the Rfam family "Bacterial small subunit ribosomal RNA", at positions 870 to 1504 of the family's 1533-position model. The record is from RNAcentral. Lineage: Bacteria; Pseudomonadati; Pseudomonadota; Gammaproteobacteria; Pseudomonadales; Marinobacteraceae.
CGCCUGGGGAGUACGGCCGCAAGGUUAAAACUCAAAUGAAUUGACGGGGGCCCGCACAAGCGGUGGAGCAUGUGGUUUAAUUCGACGCAACGCGAAGAACCUUACCUGGCCUUGACAUGCAGAGAACUUUCCAGAGAUGGAUUGGUGCCUUCGGGAACUCUGACACAGGUGCUGCAUGGCCGUCGUCAGCUCGUGUCGUGAGAUGUUGGGUUAAGUCCCGUAACGAGCGCAACCCCUAUCCCUAGUUGCUAGCAGUUCGGCUGAGAACUCUAGGGAGACUGCCGGUGACAAACCGGAGGAAGGUGGGGAUGACGUCAGGUCAUCAUGGCCCUUACGGCCAGGGCUACACACGUGCUACAAUGGCGCGCACAGAGGGCUGCAAACCCGCGAGGGGGAGCCAAUCUCACGAAACGCGUCGUAGUCCGGAUCGCAGUCUGCAACUCGACUGCGUGAAGUCGGAAUCGCUAGUAAUCGUGAAUCAGAAUGUCACGGUGAAUACGUUCCCGGGCCUUGUACACACCGCCCGUCACACCAUGGGAGUGGAUUGCACCAGAAGUGGUUAGUCUAACCUUCGGGAGGACGAUCACCACGGUGUGGUUCAUGACUGGGGUGAAGUCGUAACAAGGUAACCGUA